Molecule: long non-coding RNA, 614 nt
Organism: Wasmannia auropunctata (little fire ant)
Lineage: Eukaryota; Metazoa; Arthropoda; Insecta; Hymenoptera; Formicidae
Exons: 3
Source: RefSeq, a predicted model, not a curated record
GUGCAUUGAUCGUUAAAUCGACAUGAUUUUUAGCAUAAGUUGACAACUUCGCGGCCGGACAAUUUGCAACAAGAAAGAGAUUGUUCUACCCACGAGUUCUUCCGUUUAAAUUCCGUUGGUGCGUCGCUGGAUCUAACCUCAACGGCCACCACCGAGUGGCUUGUCUGACAACAAGCUAAUACAUGCAAGAUCAGUGUUUCCAUGUCAGGAUAUACCAGCUGUCAAAUUUAAAUACUCUGCAGAGAUAAAAGACACAAUACAUAAAUAGGAUUUAUAUGAAUUUUAUUCUAGUACCAAAAUCUUUUAGAGUCCUAAUGCCUGCAUGUUUAGAAAUGUACUUGAGAAUUCAGUCCAGGUCACAUAUGAAUUCUGUCAAGAGCAAUUAGUAUCAUCUUACGCAGUUGUUAUUGCUGUGGGUUCAAUCCGCUCCGCGGAGAUCACCACCGAGAUUGGUGCAGGUCGGUGAUACAUGUGAGAUUCAGAUGACAGUGAGUGAGUAAGUUCAUUGAAUCAUCAGGAUAACUAUUCAAUGAAAUAUUUCCACUCGUCUCCGAUAAUGGAGAAACACAUGACUUGUCAAGACCAACAUGUUCCGCAUUCGUAUCUUUUUCUGA